UACGGGGGGUGCUAACGUUAUCCGGAAUUACUGGGCGUAAAGAGUAUGUAGGUGGUUUUGUGCGUCGACGAUGAAAGACUAUCGCUUAACGAUAGGAACGUUUUCGAUACGGCAAAACUAGAGAGAAGCAGGGGUGCACGGAACUUUCGGUGUAGGAGUGAAAUCCGUAGAUAUCGAAAGGAACACCAAUGGCGAAGGCAGUGCACUGGGCUUUUUCUGACACUGAGAUACGAAAGCGUGGGGAGCAAACGGG
This 253-nucleotide ribosomal RNA is filed under the name uncultured bacterium. RNAcentral describes it as "partial 16S ribosomal RNA". It matches the Rfam family "Bacterial small subunit ribosomal RNA", at positions 524 to 776 of the family's 1533-position model. The record is from RNAcentral.